This 488-nucleotide ribosomal RNA is filed under the name uncultured bacterium. RNAcentral describes it as "bacterial SSU rRNA". It matches the Rfam family "Bacterial small subunit ribosomal RNA", at positions 21 to 507 of the family's 1533-position model. The record is from RNAcentral.
GGCUCAGAUUGAACGCUGGCGGCAUGCCUUACACAUGCAAGUCGAACGGCAGCACGGGGCAACCUGGUGGCGAGUGGCGAACGGGUGAGUAAUGCAUCGGAACGUGCCAUUGAGUGGGGAUAACGUAGCGAAAGUUGCGCUAAUACCGCAUAUUCUGUGAGCAGGAAAGCAGGGGACCGCAAGGCCUUGCGCUCUUUGAGCGGCCGAUGUCAGAUUAGCUAGUUGGUGAGGUAACGGCUUACCAAGGCGACGAUCUGUAGCGGGUCUGAGAGGAUGAUCCGCCACACUGGAACUGAGACACGGUCCAGACUCCUACGGGAGGCAGCAGUGGGGAAUUUUGGGCAAUGGGCGCAAGCCUGAUCCAGCCAUGCCGCGUGAGUGAAGAAGGCCUUCGGGUUGUAAAGCUCUUUCGGCCGGGAAGAAAUCGCAUGGGUUAAUACCCUGUGUGGAUGACGGUACCGGAAUAAGAAGCACCGGCUAACUACGUG